AAGUCUGGGUGUCCUGCUCAGGCAGCUGCCCCCGCGACCUGGUCGGAUAAGCGGAUGAAAAUGGAUGGAUGGAUGGACAUGCACCACAACUCUAUUCUGAUUGGCUGUAGACUGUGUAUUACUCUCAGAUAACUUUAAAACUUGCUCACUCUGCAUCAGUUAAAUGUAUGUUCUGUUACAUUGUGUCAACAAACCUCUUGUAUGUACCUGUCAGCUGUGUGCUGGAGAUCAGAUCUGAGACAUACCCACUCAUGUUAAAAUGGAUGAGACUGAGAAGACAUCUUAGCUUGUUACAAUUUCACCUUUGAGACAGAAAACACAGUUAAAUAACGUGAUAUUUGAAUGUUUCUUGACUGGGGAUGAAACAUAAUGAAGCCAACAAGAAGCAGAGACGAGUGUUGUUAUGUGUUGCCUCACACGGGGCACCAUUAUGUAGUACUCCUGGGACGUUAAAAGGGAGAUUUAUGUUAAAUUUCAGUAUCAGUAAUCAUUAAUGAUUAUCAGGGAUCAUUAUUGAUUAUGAUAAAUAAUAUAAUCCCAUUUACAUUUGAUCACCUCGGGGCACUACACUUGAAGGAGGGAAAACAGCAAAUUUACCAAAUCGGUCUCAUAAAAACGUAGUAAACAGUUCAAUGCCCCCGUAACUCUGAGUCCGGACCCCCCUGUGGCCCCCCGACGAAGGAGUCUGCAUCAAUAACAAAAUGACAGAUGUCUUGCGAUGAUUUUGUACAGACGUGAAUGGCGGAACUAAGUGUCUCAGCGGGUUUCCAGUCGGACCACAUAGAGCGGCGCACGCUGUGCACCGCCUUGAGAGAACCGACCGGACUGCAGCGAGUGAAGAAAGAGGAAAGGAAAAGAGCGCGAAAAUCAAAACAUUUUGAUCAAACAUUUAUCAUGCAAACAACUGAACUGAAGACUCCUCCGACUGGUCCUCCUCCGUCUCUGAUGCUCGGUCUUCUGUAUCUGAUCCGUCAGCCUCAGCUGAAGCACCUGCCUUCUCACCUUCUUCAUCGUCAUCUUGUAUUUGGAUUUUCUUCCUGUUUUAGACUUCUUAGGACUGGACAAUGAGCUCCUGGGUUCGGGUUUGCUCUUCUUCAUGGUCUUGGCAUUCGAGUCAUCGUAGCUUUUUACAACUUCAACUUGAAUCAGAAAACACAGUUAACAUGAUAUUUGAAUGUUUCUUGACUGGAGAUGAAACCAACUGACAGCAGAGAUGAUGAGUUUUUGUGUCUUUCAGCUUCCUGACAACCUUUUUUAUGUUUUGAAGUAAAAGGAGACGGUAUGGACCAAAUUCA
Molecule: long non-coding RNA, 1295 nt
Organism: Acanthopagrus latus (yellowfin seabream)
Lineage: Eukaryota; Metazoa; Chordata; Actinopteri; Spariformes; Sparidae
Exons: 2
Source: RefSeq, a predicted model, not a curated record